UGGGAAAGCAAAGGGAAAUGAGAAUGGAGAAAAGUAUUUUCUAGAUAAAGCAGUUGGAUUUGAUGGGUGAGCCAGGAGACCAGCAGCAGGGAGGGUGGGUGGUCCAAUGGGCAGAGUUAUGGCUAGGAAGUGAAGAGUCAAGAGCCCCUGUUUCACCCACAGUCCAUGACUGUAGGAUCCAAGGCAUGACCCCUUCCCACAGCAGUGCCCCUUUAAGAGAGGGAAAUGUGAUCAAAAGGGUAAGAAGGGUCCCUUGCUCCUGGAGGGGAACUGCUGGCCCGUCUGCCUGAUAGCCACUGGAGGCAGGCCUUGGUUAGGCCUUCCCACUGACACCCAGUGGGACGUGAUGGCAGAGCAGUUGGUGCUUUUGUCAACAUGCUGCUUCCAGAUCUUCAGGUUACUAUUAAAAUCCCACCAAACCCUGCCACUGGCGUCCGUCGGGCUUUGUGGAUUGAUUCAGAUUUAAGGUGCGCCCCUCUAGGCCUUAGCACUGGAGGUGGAAAGAGCAGAAGAGUAAAACUUGGUCUUGGGGUCCCCAAAUUCAGAGGGAGUGACCGCAACAGGUAAGGUGACAGAUUCUAAACCAAAUUAUGUGAUACAGAUCAUGAAUGGUUUGCUUAUUCCAAAUUAGCACCAACCCUAAACAAAACAGAUAAACUGAAUCCUAAAAUGUACCCAGUAUGUUCACACUGGCCUAGGCUGAUAAUAAAUGUUC
Molecule: long non-coding RNA, 715 nt
Filed under: Homo sapiens (human)
Lineage: Eukaryota; Metazoa; Chordata; Mammalia; Primates; Hominidae
Description: HSALNT0134193
Source: RNAcentral